CUUUGAUUUCAUUCACACGUCUUCUUCUUCUAGAGUUCUGUUUUUAUGGAUAUGAUUUGUGGGUUUUUGGUUCAGGAACUGCAGAGGUUGUGCCUUAUGUUGAUGCUGAUUUGAAGCAUACCGCUGUUAAGGUUGUCGAGAAAGCCAAAGCACUAUGUCUGAGCAAGUCAGUAUGGAUAUAUAUUGACUACCUUGUUCCAUUAUUCUGCUUUGUUAUAUAGAUCAAAGCUUGAAUAGAAAAAGAUUUGGACUUUUAUGUGUAUUCAGUCCUUAUGUAUUAGAUUAGAUGAGCUUUAGUUCGUGUGAAUCUCUUUUAUCAUUCAAAAGCAUCAACCUUUGAGACAAUCCACAAGUUUUCGCCUUCUUGUUCUUAACAAUUUUAUCUUUUUUCUUUUGUUAGAUACUACAAUAAUGUUUGGUUUGUUGUCUAGGUUCAUGGCGCAAUGAUAGUAGUUUUUGAAGGCGAUGCAAGGAAUAUCCUGUGCGAGGUACAUAAGAAGGCAAGUCACGGGUUCACAGUGAGAGUGGAAGACUCUUGUGUCACGGUUGUAUUUUUUGUCGUCUGUCAUUAGUUGUUGUUCUGUACUCACGAGAAUAUUGUAAAGUGUCAUGUUUUGUAGUCUUGUGUCAUGGUUGUAUUCUUCUCUUAUUGUCCAUAUUCAAAUUGUAUUGGUGUGUCACGGAGUUGUAGUUAAAGUUCGUAUAUAAACUCUUUGUAUUGUUGGUCUUUCUUUAAAAACACAUAAUCAAGUAUUUCUUUAUAAACUAUUCUUGUUCUCUCUUUAAAGUCCCAAGUCUUGUUCUUUAUAAACACAUAAUCAGGUUCUGUUCUUGUUCUUGUUGUGUCGCGGGUUUAGGGUUACAAACUCAUAAUAUCUUGUCCCACCGUUUGGAAAUGGCAAUAUUCUCGGGGUUCGGGUAAACCAACGAUCGUUUUAGAGGCGGUUGCUUCAUAUGAUCUCUGGAUAUGGCAUGCGUUUUUUGGACCUCCACGUAUCUUAAAUGAUAUCAAAUGCAUUAACAACUGAAAGAUGAUUUGGUUGAACAUAUAUAGCGCAAAUAUGGACGUGAUGAAGAUAACAACUGAGCUCGGAUGCUUCUUUCAAAUUAUUCUCGUUUAUUUUACUAAUCUUUGUUUUUAUGUUUUUAUUUAAAAUUCAAUGUUUAACAUGUUAUAUUUUAUGAUGUUUUAUUCAAUAAAUAACUUUUAUGUUAAAAAAAAAUUGUUUAAUAAUUUUUUUAAAAACCUUUAAUUAAGAUACUUGCAUUAGAGCACCUAAAUGUUGCCGUCUCUUAGCGGAGUCUCUUAAACCACAUUUAUUAUUAAAAAAAAAUAAGAGACCCAUUUAGAGUCUCUAGGUUAAUCAUGCUUAGUAUGUAGAAUUUUAUUAAAUGCUACAUUCAAUACUAGAAAAUAUCGGUUCAAUAGUUUUAUUUGCUUCCGUGUUGGUAAAGAUAGUGAGAAAAGAAAAGCUAUAUCCAAAGAGAGCACGUCUUUUUGUUCUUGCUCUUGCUUUCUUGUUGUUAAGUGUCUGUCUUGCUCAGGAAAGAGCUUUCUUCUCCAGAAACCUCAGUGACGAUUUUCUCCAGCCCUCGCAUGUUCAGGUUUGGUUUCUUCACCCCUGUUAAUUCCACAAGUCAGUACGCAGGUAUAUGGUACAACAACAUUCCUGUACAAACUGUAAUAUGGGUUGCUAAUAAAGACCAACCCAUCAACGACUCCUCUGGAGUUAUCUCUGUGACGGAGAUGGAAACCUCUUAGUUACGGAUGGUCAGAGACGUGUCUUCAGAAGCGAAACAGCCUGCUUUUCUAUCAAGUAACGUUGCUUCGGAAGCUGAGUCUUCUGAGAACAGUGACCAUUUAACCUCUAUCAACAAUUAAUGUCACCAUCACUGAUGUUUCAGGACGUUAUAACGCUCAGAAACAAAACGUAUGUUUAUUAGAGAAACCCUUGUUUGAAUGGCCAGAGAAUACAUCAUCCAUCUUUAUAGAUGGUUAGGGUCUCAAACAUGUAGUAAUUUAAAAGUGCUUAUAUAUAACAAUUGUACGAAAUCAGGAUAUGUAGCGCAAGAACCCACAUCUCUUAAGCGUUUGCUGGUCGUAUAGUAGGAAGUUCAAUGGAUGCACUUUCAUGUGAAGUAGAAAGAUGUGUGGAAGAUUCAGCUGCUUGUUGUUGAGACUCAGGAUCAUAAAACUGGCGGUGGUCAUGAUGCUCAGAGUGGCUAGGACGACGAGGAUUAGGAAAACUUUCACCGCUUUGGUUGUUGGAAUUGUGAAGGAGAUGGAUCGGAGAUGAGUCAUGAGUUGGUGUGUUUGAUUCAGAGUGUCUUCCAUGUUGUGUCUCUUUCUGUGCUUUGUGAUGCCACUUAUUUAGCAUCUUGGAUACUCUUUUGUUGAAUACCGUUGGCUUCAUCCUAGUACUCAUCUACACACAUUUCAUCAAAUACAAUGUCAUAAAAAAAACUAAGAUCAUCAUGUAUUGAUCUCACUGAAAAUUAUGUUUUUUAUUACCUGAAUGACAAGAGCAUAGAGUGGAAGUCAUAUAGCUGCAAAGUAUCUGUACAACAAGUCUGCAAAUUUGUGACCUGGUCAGUUAAAUAAAGUUUUUUCCCCGAGUAUUCACACAACCAAUUGUCAAGCUAAUGUUUAGCUUACCCAACUAUCUAUAUAUAAUAGCAAACCAAUUUUGUGUUAACAGCUGACGUCAUCAAUUUUUUAUAGGAAAAAAAAAGUUUGAUCCAAUGGUCAACAUUUUUCAUAUUUUAUGAUCUUAUGGAUAUAAAACACUCUUUCUAUAGAUGAUGAUGUCAUCAAUUUUUUUGGCAACUCUUCUAUCAACAGACAUCUAUUUUAAACAACACAUCUUUUUAAGAGACACAAUGGCAACUCUUCUUUCAACCGUCAUCUAUUUGAAACAACACAUCUUUUUAAAAAACCCAAAUCAUACAUUUUCAUCUAAACAACACAUCCUUUAACCAACAUACAUUUUCAUAAUUUAUUUAAACAUUCAACCCAAUAGUCAGAAUUAUUUGUUUUUAUCAUCUAAAAGACAUAAAACACUUUCGUUGAAUUCACUAUUGUCAGCCAAAAAAUUAUAUUUGACAAAACUUUCUUUAUUUAUUUAAUUAAUGUGUCCUUUCACAAACAUAAUUUUUCCUAAUUUUAAGUAUUUUUUAUAUAUCGAAGCAACACAUCCCUUAACAAACAUACGUUUUCAUUAUUAUUUAAAACAAUGCAUCCCUUAGCAACAUAAAUUUUCCUAAUUAAAAUAAUUUUUCAAAAAAAUCUGAAGAGAUACAAUCCGACGGCCGUAAUUGUUUGUUUAAUUAUCUAAUGGUCCAAAAUUAUUUUGGUGUAUUUCUUAAGUCGUAUCGCAACUUUUUCUGAAGACUUUUCAUCUGAAAAAACACACACCUUCUAGAGUUGUCCUUGAUGUACCUUUUCAUGAUCUAUAUAUUGAACUUUUUACAGCAAAAAUCUAUUAAAAAUAUACUUGGUUAUUCAUCUUCUAUUUCAUUUUCUGUAUUUGUUUUUGAUCUCUGUCAAGGUAUGUCAUCUUCUCCUUCCUUUUAAGUCACAGUCAUUAUUGAAUAGUUGAUCUGUUUACGGUGAGAGUUACCACUAGGUUUUGAUGGUUUUUAAGAAGUAGAGAUCAAAGCCUUACUACUUUUAAAUAAAUAUCGUUAACGUAUCACGAGUUUCGCAUGGGGAAGUUUGUAUUACAGAAAAUCAUUAGUAUUUGUAUAAGAAAAUACACAAGACGACACUCAUUAUAAAGUCACUAAAUAUAGGGGUCAGACAGUGAGUGGAAAUCAGGGAUUUGAGAGAUAUUUCGACUGAAUAAUUAACGACGUAACUUGCGAUUUAUACAUUUAAUUUCCGUGUUGUAUGAAAGAAAUAUCUGAUUCAUUUGUUUUUUCUUCAGAGCCUUUCAUUCCAUUUGUUUAAGAUCAGUUAAUACAAAACCACUAUUGCAUAAACUAUCGCAAGCGACCUUUGUUGUUGUCGCCAGGACGUUAGGAUUCUAAAAUCAGAUUGCAAGUCUCAUUUUAAAAGGUCUCAUUUUGAUCUCCGUGUUGUCUCCUCCACGUCUCCAUCAUUUGGAUCCAUUUCGUUGGAUUUUGAUGGCACGGCUGCUUCUUCCGGUAGUUGUGUCCGGUGACGACAACAACGGUUGUUCUUCCUCAACCAAAAAAAAGCCAAUAGAUGAAGAGUAGAUAGGAGAGAGCGAUGGUGAAGUCUGUAUUAGCAUUAAACAUAAACAAACGUUUUGGGUGAAAUGAGAUGACUGGAAUGAAACAAAGGCUAAUGGUUUCACGUGGGGCAAUGGGUUUUUGGUUCCAAGAGGAUUUGUAUAACUCAAUGAUUUACAAUGGUGAAAAUACUCAGAAAAUGUUUAUUACUCAUUAACCAACAAAUUCACGCUUCGGGUUA
Brassica napus (rape) is the source of this 4435-nucleotide long non-coding RNA. RefSeq lists it as uncharacterized. The transcript is spliced from 3 exons. Lineage: Eukaryota; Viridiplantae; Streptophyta; Magnoliopsida; Brassicales; Brassicaceae. The record is from RefSeq and is a predicted model, not a curated record.